CAGGUCCACUGCGGACUCAGGGGUAGGAUCGGUCCCAUGCAGGUGAUGUGACUGAGGGUAGGAAAAAUGUGGUUCCCAAAGGAAAAUUAGGAGGAAAUGGAUGCUGGGCAAGCAAAGACAACAGAUGUCUACGUUCUGUGCUUAUUCCUAAAAUCAAGGAUUUCAACAUGUGGAGAAUGAAGAAGAGGACAUUCCGGAUGGCAUGACGGCAUGAAGCUGUACAAUGGUGGGAUUGUUUGGGGAAAUAGUGGUGUCUUUUGACAAAGUGCAGAGUAUGUGAUGGGCACUGGAGUAGAAUAAAAGCUGGUGUCUUUUGGCCAGACAGCUGGUGGCCACAUGCUCCCCUAAGACACAUGGAUCUUAUUUGGCAGCUAUUGGGUCCCUAAUUCAAAUAUUUCCUAUAAAUUUUUAUCCCUCCAGAAUUAUCAGGCAGAAGGGAAAGACAAAUGAUGAGGACAGGAAAUGCAAGGAAAGGAAACGAAGCAAAAAGCUGACUAAUGUGGGUCAGGAUAAAAAUAAUGUAACCAAAGGAGUGGACAACAAGCAGAAGCAGAAACUGGGGGCUGUCAGAGGGCAGAGGAGGAAAACACUCUGGUUCCAGAGGGUGAGGCCCAGGAGUGGAUGCCUGCUGGAUGCUUCUGACCCUCAUCGAAGGAGACAGUGCCUGCCAGAAGGCACCAGUAUGGAGACAGAGACUGUCAACCACAGUUUUUGCCUUACGUGAAAUACUUACAACAAGACCAUGGUGGGGGCUCCCAUAACAGCCCCACCGUCCUUCGAGUCAGAACUCCGCAGGCGCCCACAUUGAAACACGCACUCAUUUACUUCAACAAAGAUAAAUGACGUAAAUGUACAUUUCCUAAAAAACCCCUGCCGAGUCCAGGGUUUGCACUCACUGAAGAACUUACUUAAAGCUUUUCAUAAUGGAUUGACUAAGCCUUUCUCAGGAUGUAAGAACUGUUUUGAACUAGUUACUUAAGCAAGUUUCAUGUGACGUGAGAAUUAUUUAUCUGUCAUCUACCCAUUCACCC
This 1031-nucleotide long non-coding RNA is filed under the name Equus asinus (donkey). Its description in RNAcentral is "lncRNA (ENSEASG00005037087.1)". Lineage: Eukaryota; Metazoa; Chordata; Mammalia; Perissodactyla; Equidae. The record is from RNAcentral.